GGCUGCUCAGCGGUAGAGCGCUCACCUAGCACGUGUGAGGCCCUGGGUUCAAUCCUCUGCACCA
RNAcentral lists this transfer RNA (64 nucleotides) under Marmota monax (woodchuck). RNAcentral describes it as "tRNA.Ala". Lineage: Eukaryota; Metazoa; Chordata; Mammalia; Rodentia; Sciuridae. The record is from RNAcentral.